RNAcentral lists this ribosomal RNA (264 nucleotides) under uncultured Fusibacter sp. RNAcentral describes it as "partial 16S ribosomal RNA". It matches the Rfam family "Bacterial small subunit ribosomal RNA", at positions 1122 to 1382 of the family's 1533-position model. Lineage: Bacteria; Bacillati; Bacillota; Clostridia; Eubacteriales; Fusibacteraceae. The record is from RNAcentral.
CAGGUCAGGCUGGGCACUCUAGAGAGACUGCCGGGGGAGUAACUCGGAGGAAGGUGGGGGAUGACGUCAAAUCAUCAUGCCCCUUAUGAUUUGGGCUACACACGUGCUACAAUGGUCGGUACAACGGGCAGCGAAGGAGUGAUCUGGAGCGAAUCCUUAUAAGCCGAUCCCAGUUCGGAUUGUAGGCUGCAACUCGCCUACAUGAAGUUGGAGUUGCUAGUAAUCGUGAAUCAGAAUGUCGCGGUGAAUGCGUUCCCGGGUCUU